UACGUAGGGGGCAAGCGUUGUCCGGAAUCAUUGGGCGUAAAGCGCGUGUAGGCGGCUCGGUAAGUCCGCUCUGAAAGUCCGGGGCUCAACCCCGGGAGGCGGGUGGAUACUGUCGAGCUAGAGUCCGGAAGAGGCGAGUGGAAUUCCUGGUGUAGCGGUGAAAUGCGCAGAUAUCAGGAGGAACACCAAUGGCGAAGGCAGCUCGCUGGGACGGUACUGACGCUGAGACGCGAAAGCGUGGGGAGCAAACGGG
RNAcentral lists this ribosomal RNA (253 nucleotides) under uncultured bacterium. RNAcentral's name for it is "partial 16S ribosomal RNA". It matches the Rfam family "Bacterial small subunit ribosomal RNA", at positions 524 to 776 of the family's 1533-position model. The record is from RNAcentral.